AUCGCUUCUCAGCCUUUUGGCUAAGAUCAAGUGUAGCAUAUUAUAAUAGAUAGAUUUCAUCAACACUAAAACCUUUU
The sequence is a small nuclear RNA, 77 nucleotides long. Its record names the gene U2. It matches the Rfam family "U2 spliceosomal RNA". Rfam says of the family: U2 is a small nuclear RNA (snRNA) component of the spliceosome (involved in pre-mRNA splicing). The record is from Ensembl.